This 694-nucleotide long non-coding RNA is filed under the name Marmota monax (woodchuck). The record is from RNAcentral. Lineage: Eukaryota; Metazoa; Chordata; Mammalia; Rodentia; Sciuridae.
GGAGGAUGUAUAGAUUGCUAGACAGAGAGGUAGAACUCAUAAGGCUUCCAUGGUCAUUUUUUCAAAAUUGGGAAAGGUAGUAUGAGCUACUUUUACUACUUUAAUUCUAAUAAUGCCCUUUUUUUUCCUUUCUUUUUUUUUUUUUUUGCGGGGGCAGGGAGGUACCAGGGAUUAAACUCAGGGGCACUUGACCACUGAGCCACAUUCACAGCCUAUUUUUGUAUUUUAUUUAGAGACAUGGUCUCACUGAGUUGCUCAGCACUUCGCUUUUGCUGAGGCUUGCUUUGAACUCAUAAUCCUCUUGCCUCAGCCUACUGAGCCUCUGGAAUUAUAGGUGUGCGCCACCACACCAGGCUCUGAUAAUGCUUUGAAGGGAAAGAUUAUGCAUAUGUUAACGUUCCAGCUGAUUUUCACCUUCCGAUUAUUCAUUAUUGAUUUUUAAAAAUUUUGUGGUAUAAAUAGCAUGGAGUUCUCAGUCAUAGUAAAGUUAACAGUAUUGCAUAUAUUUGCAUAUAUUCUGAGAUGUUCAUUUUCACUGCUUCAGUUCCUAAAUGUAGGAAGGAUUUGUGAAGAGUAUUCACCAGUAUGAUGUAAAAACAUCACAUAUCUUUUUUAAAUCCUCAGCAUGGACUCUACAUGAAAAUAAAUUUCUUUUGCUUGUUUUUGUUUAAACUGUCAGUUUUUUAUGAGUGAU